Molecule: ribosomal RNA, 333 nt
Filed under: Triticum aestivum (bread wheat)
Lineage: Eukaryota; Viridiplantae; Streptophyta; Magnoliopsida; Poales; Poaceae
Description: partial small subunit ribosomal RNA
Source: RNAcentral
AUGGCGUUGGAGGAGGGAGCACGGGUGGCUGCCGCAGCUGAAGCACGGGUGGCCUGGUUGUGGCGGAGCAUGGCGGGAGUCCGGGCGGCGUCGUGGUCAUGGUCGUGGUCAAGAGAAGAAGCACGGGUGGCCGCCGCAGCUGAGCUUCUAUGUAACAUAGUUCCGAUGAAUCCUCUGCCGCAGCUGGCCUCUACAGGUUGGGCUCUCCUGUUCUUUUUUGUUGGCUUGACGUACGCACUGGCAACCUCCUACGUGAGGGAUUCAGCAUGCCUCUAUUUGAGAGAAAAGAUAUGGAGAAGUGGAUUUUCAGAGUAUCUUAGGCACACAAGCUAA